RNAcentral lists this ribosomal RNA (24 nucleotides) under Heterodera glycines (soybean cyst nematode). RNAcentral's name for it is "partial 28S ribosomal RNA". RNAcentral also lists the same sequence under 4 other names. Lineage: Eukaryota; Metazoa; Nematoda; Chromadorea; Rhabditida; Heteroderidae. The record is from RNAcentral.
UUCGACCUGAACUCAGACGUGAAC